CCUACGGGAGGCAGCAGUGAGGAAUAUUGGACAAUGGGCGCAAGCCUGAUCCAGCCAUGCCGCGUGCAGGAUGACGGUCCUAUGGAUUGUAAACUGCUUUUGUACAGGAAGAAACAGUUCUACGUGUAGAACCUUGACGGUACUGUAAGAAUAAGGAUCGGCUAACUCCGUGCCAGCAGCCGCGGUAAUACGGAGGAUCCAAGCGUUAUCCGGAAUCAUUGGGUUUAAAGGGUCCGUAGGCGGUUUAGUAAGUCAGUGGUGAAAGCCCAUCGCUCAACGGUGGAACGGCCAUUGAUACUGCUAAACUUGAAUUAUUAGGAAGUAACUAGAAUAUGUAGUGUAGCGGUGAAAUGCUUAGAGAUUACAUGGAAUACCAAUUGCGAAGGCAGGUUACUACUAAUUGAUUGACGCUGAUGGACGAAAGCGUGGGUAGCGAACAGGAUUAGAUACCCUGGUAGUCCACGCCGUAAACGAUGGAUACUAGCUGUUGGAAGCAAUUUCAGUGGCUAAGCGAAAGUGAUAAGUAUCCCACCUGGGGAGUACGUUCGCAAGAAUGAAACUCAAAGGAAUUAGACGG
This 577-nucleotide ribosomal RNA is filed under the name uncultured bacterium. Its description in RNAcentral is "bacterial SSU rRNA". It matches the Rfam family "Bacterial small subunit ribosomal RNA", at positions 338 to 917 of the family's 1533-position model. The record is from RNAcentral.